This 497-nucleotide ribosomal RNA is filed under the name uncultured bacterium. RNAcentral's name for it is "partial 16S ribosomal RNA". It matches the Rfam family "Bacterial small subunit ribosomal RNA", at positions 28 to 507 of the family's 1533-position model. The record is from RNAcentral.
GAUGAACGCUGGCGGCGUGCCUAAUACAUGCAAGUCGAGCGAACGGACGAGAAUCUUGCUUCUCUGAUGUUAGCGGCGGACGGGUGAGUAACACGUGGAUAACCUACCUAUAAGACUGGGAUAACUUCGGGAAACCGGAGCUAAUACCGGAUAAUAUUUUGAACCGCAUGGUUCAAAAGAGAAAGACGGUCUUGCUGUCACUUAUAGAGGGAUCCGCGCUGCAUUAGCUAGUUGGUAAGGUAACGGCUUACCAAGGCAACGAUGCAUAGCCGACCUGAGAGGGUGAUCGGCCACACUGGAACUGAGACACGGUCCAGACUCCUACGGGAGGCAGCAGUAGGGAAUCUUCCGCAAUGGGCGAAAGCCUGACGGAGCAACGCCGCGUGAGUGAUGAAGGUCUUCGGAUCGUAAAACUCUGUUAUUAGGGAAGAACAUAUGUGUAAGUAACUGUGCACAUCUUGACGGUACCUAAUCAGAAAGCCACGGCUAACUACGUG